This 512-nucleotide ribosomal RNA is filed under the name Paracercion sieboldii. RNAcentral describes it as "partial 16S rRNA". It matches the Rfam family "Bacterial large subunit ribosomal RNA", at positions 1831 to 2597 of the family's 2925-position model. Lineage: Eukaryota; Metazoa; Arthropoda; Insecta; Odonata; Coenagrionidae. The record is from RNAcentral.
GUCCUCAUGUUUUUAUUUGAGGUUUGGCCUGCCCGGUGAUUUUAAUUUAACGGCCGCGGUAUAUUGACCGUGCAAAGGUAGCAUAAUCAUUAGUCUUUUAAUAGGAGGCUGGAAUGAAAGGUUUAACGAAAAAUUAGCUGUCUCAAUUAUAAAUUUGAAUUUAACUUUUAAGUUAAAAGGCUUAAAUUUUUUUGUAGGACGAGAAGACCCUAUAGAGCUUUACAUUUAAUGUUUUGUUAUAUUGAUUUAGAUUAAUACUUUUAAUUAACUUUAAAAAAUGUUUUGUUGGGGUGACAAGAAAUAUAUAUUUAACUUUUAUUAUUAUAUUUUCAUUAAUUUAUGGUUAUUGGAUCCAAAAUUUUUGAUCAUUAGAAUAAGUUACCUUAGGGAUAACAGCGUAAUCUUCCCUCAGAGUUCAAAUUUACGGGAAGGCUUGCGACCUCGAUGUUGGAUUAAGAUAACAAUUGGGUGCAGUAGCUCAAUUUGUAGGUCUGUUCGACCUUUAAAUUCUU